GACGAACGCUGGCGGCGUGCUUAACACAUGCAAGUCGAACGGAAAGGCCCUGCUUUUGUGGGGUGCUCGAGUGGCGAACGGGUGAGUAACACGUGAGUAACCUGCCCUUGUCUUUGGGAUAACUUCAGGAAACUGGGGCUAAUACCGGAUAGGAGCUCCUGCUGCAUGGUGGGGGUUGGAAAGUUUCGGCGGUUGGGGAUGGACUCGCGGCUUAUCAGCUUGUUGGUGGGGUAGUGGCUUACCAAGGCUUUGACGGGUAGCCGGCCUGAGAGGGUGACCGGCGACAUUGGGACUGAGGUACGGCCCAGACGGCUACGGGAGGCAGAAGGGGGGAAUAUUGCGCAAUGGGCGGAAGCGUGAUGCAGCAACGCCGCGUGCGGGAUGACGGCCUUCGGGUUGUAAACCGCUUUCGAAUGUGACGAAGCGUGAGUGACGGUAAUGGGUAAAGAAGCACCGGCUAACUACGUG
This 468-nucleotide ribosomal RNA is filed under the name uncultured bacterium. RNAcentral's name for it is "partial 16S ribosomal RNA". It matches the Rfam family "Bacterial small subunit ribosomal RNA", at positions 28 to 507 of the family's 1533-position model. The record is from RNAcentral.